AGUAGGGAAUAUUGGUUAAUGGGCGAAAGCCUGAACCAGCAACGCCGCGUGUGCGAUGAAGGCCUUCGGGUUGUAAAGCACUUUUAGUAGGGACGAGGAAGGACGGUACCUACAGAAUAAGCCUCGGCUAACUACGUGCCAGCAGCCGCGGUAACACGUAGGAGGCAAGCGUUAUUCGGAUUUACUGGGCGUAAAGCGCGUGUAGGCGGUUCGGAGAGUUGGAUGUGAAAGCUCCUGGCUUAACUGGGAGAGGCCGUUCAAUACUUCCGGACUUGAGGAUGGUAGAGGAAGAUGGAAUUCCGAGUGUAGUGGUGAAAUGCGCAGAUAUUCGGAGGAACACCAGUGGCGAAAGCGAUCUUCUAGACCAUAACUGACGCUCAGACGCGAAAGCUAGGGUAGCAAACGGGAUUAGAGACCCCGGUAGUCCUAGCUGUAAACGAUGUAGACUAGGCGUUGGUGGGUUCAAAUCCAUCAGUGCCGGA
Molecule: ribosomal RNA, 482 nt
Filed under: uncultured bacterium
Lineage: Bacteria
Description: bacterial SSU rRNA
Rfam family: Bacterial small subunit ribosomal RNA
Source: RNAcentral